ACGCAGGGGUUCGGCCUGGCUGAGGGAAGCCUCCCUGAAUCUUGCCUCUAUAUGUUUUAAGGAGAAUUUCGGUCCCAGCAAAAACUGACCACCCGGAGUCUUCCACCGUCUCUCUUUAUAAAUCUCUUCGAACCUCAAGCAACUCCCUGCCUCCUUCGUCUGGGGUCUGCGCCCAGCGGGGUCAAAGCCUUGAGUUCCUUGGCAGAGAGUGUGGAACAGCCGUGAGCCCUUCAAGACACGCCAGUGAGCCCGGUGAUUUUUUUUUUCAAGGGGCCUUGGAUGGUCUGCA
Molecule: long non-coding RNA, 289 nt
Filed under: Macaca mulatta (Rhesus monkey)
Lineage: Eukaryota; Metazoa; Chordata; Mammalia; Primates; Cercopithecidae
Description: lncRNA (ENSMMUG00000055653.1)
Source: RNAcentral